RNAcentral lists this unclassified non-coding RNA (332 nucleotides) under soil metagenome. RNAcentral describes it as "partial contains 5.8S ribosomal RNA, internal transcribed spacer 2, and large subunit ribosomal RNA". The stretch from base 1 to 120 matches the Rfam family "5.8S ribosomal RNA", at positions 35 to 154 of the family's 154-position model. The record is from RNAcentral.
GAUGAAGAACGCAGCGAAAUGCGAAAAGUAGUGUGAAUUGCAGAAUUCAGUGAAUCAUCGAAUCUUUGAACGCACAUUGCGCCCCCUGGUAUUCCGGGGGGCAUGCCUGUUCGAGCGUCAUUUCACCACUCAAGCCUCGCUUGGUAUUGGGCGACGCGGUCCGCCGCGCGCCUCAAAUCGACCGGCUGGGUCUUUCGUCCCCUCAGCGUUGUGGAAACUAUUCGCUAAAGGGUGCCGCGGGAGGCCACGCCGUAAAACAACCCCAUUUCUAAGGUUGACCUCGGAUCAGGUAGGGAUACCCGCUGAACUUAAGCAUAUCAAUAAGCGGAGGA